Molecule: ribosomal RNA, 696 nt
Filed under: uncultured bacterium
Lineage: Bacteria
Description: bacterial SSU rRNA
Rfam family: Bacterial small subunit ribosomal RNA
Source: RNAcentral
AACGCUAGCUACAGGCUUAACACAUGCAAGUCGAGGGGAAACGAUAGAGAAAGCUUGCUUUUUCUAGGCGUCGACCGGCGUACGGGUGAGUAACGCGUAUCCAACCUGCCCAUCACUUGGGAAUAACCUUGCGAAAGUAAGACUAAUACCCAAUGAUAUCUCUAGAAGACAUCUGAAGGAGAUUAAAGAUUUAUCGGUGAUGGAUGGGGAUGCGUCUGAUUAGCUUGUUGGCGGGGUAACGGCCCACCAAGGCUACGAUCAGUAGGGGUUCUGAGAGGAAGGUCCCCCACAUUGGAACUGAGACACGGUCCAAACUCCUACGGGAGGCAGCAGUGAGGAAUAUUGGUCAAUGGGCGAGAGCCUGAACCAGCCAAGUAGCGUGCAGGAUGACGGCCCUAUGGGUUGUAAACUGCUUUUAUAAGGGAAUAAAGUGAGUCUCGUGAGGCUUUUUGCAUGUACCUUAUGAAUAAGGACCGGCUAAUUCCGUGCCAGCAGCCGCGGUAAUACGGAAGGUCCGGGCGUUAUCCGGAUUUAUUGGGUUUAAAGGGAGCGUAGGCCGGAGAUUAAGCGUGUUGUGAAAUGUAGAUGCUCAACAUCUGCACUGCAGCGCGAACUGGUUUCCUUGAGUACGCACAAAGUGGGCGGAAUUCGUGGUGUAGCGGUGAAAUGCUUAGAUAUCACGAAGAACUCCGAUUG